RNAcentral lists this ribosomal RNA (1343 nucleotides) under uncultured bacterium. Its description in RNAcentral is "16S ribosomal RNA". It matches the Rfam family "Bacterial small subunit ribosomal RNA", at positions 28 to 1378 of the family's 1533-position model. The record is from RNAcentral.
GACGAACGCUGGCGGCGUGCUUAACACAUGCAAGUCGAACGGAAAGGCCCUGCUUUUGUGGGGUGCUCGAGUGGCGAACGGGUGAGUAACACGUGAGUAACCUGCCCUUGACUUUGGGAUAACUUCAGGAAACUGGGGCUAAUACCGGAUAGGGGCUCCUGCUGCAUGGUGGGGGUUGGAAAGUUUCGGCGGUUGGGGAUGGACUCGCGGCUUAUCAGCUUGUUGGUGGGGUAGUGGCUUACCAAGGCUUUGACGGGUAGCCGGCCUGAGAGGGUGACCGGCCACAUUGGGACUGAGAUACGGCCCAGACUCCUACGGGAGGCAGCAGUGGGGAAUAUUGCACAAUGGGCGGAAGCCUGAUGCAGCAACGCCGCGUGCGGGAUGACGGCCUUCGGGUUGUAAACCGCUUUCGCCUGUGACGAAGCGUGAGUGACGGUAAUGGGUAAAGAAGCACCGGCUAACUACGUGCCAGCAGCCGCGGUGAUACGUAGGGUGCGAGCGUUGUCCGGAUUUAUUGGGCGUAAAGGGCUCGUAGGUGGUUGAUCGCGUCGGAAGUGUAAUCUUGGGGCUUAACCCUGAGCGUGCUUUCGAUACGGGUUGACUUGAGGAAGGUAGGGGAGAAUGGAAUUCCUGGUGGAGCGGUGGAAUGCGCAGAUAUCAGGAGGAACACCAGUGGCGAAGGCGGUUCUCUGGGCCUUUCCUGACGCUGAGGAGCGAAAGCGUGGGGAGCGAACAGGCUUAGAUACCCUGGUAGUCCACGCUGUAAACGGUGGGUACUAGGUGUGGGGUCCAUUCCACGGGUUCCGUGCCGUAGCUAACGCUUUAAGUACCCCGCCUGGGGAGUACGGCCGCAAGGCUAAAACUCAAAGGAAUUGACGGGGCCCCGCACAAGCGGCGGAGCAUGCGGAUUAAUUCGAUGCAACGCGUAGAACCUUACCUGGGUUUGACAUGGAUCGGGAGUGCUCAGAGAUGGGUGUGCCUCUUUUGGGGUCGGUUCACAGGUGGUGCAUGCCUGUCGUCAGCUCGUGUCGUGAGAUGUUGGGUUAAGUCCCGCAACGAGCGCAACCCUUGUUCACUGUUGCCAGCACGUUAUGGUGGGGACUCAGUGGAGACCGCCGGGGUCAACUCGGAGGAAGGUGGGGAUGACGUCAAGUCCUCAUGCCCCUUAUGUCCAGGGCUUCACGCAUGCUACAAUGGCUGGUACAGAGAGUGGCGAGCCUGUGAGGGUGAGCGAAUCUCGGAAAGCCGGUCUCAGUUCGGAUUGGGGUCUGCAACUCGACCUCAUGAAGUCGGAGUCGCUAGUAAUCGCAGAUCAGCAACGCUGCGGUGAAUACGUUCCCGGG